This 484-nucleotide ribosomal RNA is filed under the name uncultured bacterium. Its description in RNAcentral is "partial 16S ribosomal RNA". It matches the Rfam family "Bacterial small subunit ribosomal RNA", at positions 30 to 507 of the family's 1533-position model. The record is from RNAcentral.
AUUGAACGCUGGCGGCAGGCCUAACACAUGCAAGUCGAGCGGAUGAAGGGAGCUUGCUCCUGGAUUCAGCGGCGGACGGGUGAGUAAUGCCUAGGAAUCUGCCUGGCGGUGGGGGAUAACGUCCGGAAACGGGCGCUAAUACCGCAUACGUCCUGAGGGAGAAAGUGGGGGUUCUUCGGACCUCACGCUAUCAGAUGAGCCUAGGUGGGAUUAGCUAGUUGGUGAGGUAAAGGCCUACCAAGGCGACGUUCCGUAACUGGCCUGAGAGGAUGAUCGGACACACUGGAACUGAGACACGGUCCAGACUCCUACGGGAGGCAGCAGUGGGGAAUAUUGGGCAAUGGGCGAAAGCCUGAUGCAGCCAUGCCGCGUGAGUGAAGAAGGUCUUCGGAUUGUAAAGCACUUUAAGUUGGGAGGAAGGGCAGUAAGUUAAUACCUGGCUGUUUUGACGUUACCAACAGAAAAAGCACCGGCUAACUUCGUG